GGCGCGUUCAUCUAGCGGCUAGGAUACCGCCCUCUCAAGGCGGGUACACGGGUUCGAUUCCCGUACGCGCUA
RNAcentral lists this transfer RNA (72 nucleotides) under bacterium. Its description in RNAcentral is "tRNA-Glu". It matches the Rfam family "tRNA". Rfam says of the family: Transfer RNA (tRNA) molecules are approximately 80 nucleotides in length. Their secondary structure includes four short double-helical elements and three loops (D, anti-codon, and T loops). The record is from RNAcentral. RNAcentral also lists the same sequence under 4 other names.